RNAcentral lists this ribosomal RNA (2088 nucleotides) under Campylobacter jejuni. RNAcentral's name for it is "partial 23S ribosomal RNA". It matches the Rfam family "Bacterial large subunit ribosomal RNA", at positions 850 to 2925 of the family's 2925-position model. Lineage: Bacteria; Pseudomonadati; Campylobacterota; Epsilonproteobacteria; Campylobacterales; Campylobacteraceae. The record is from RNAcentral.
UGGUUCUCUCCGAAAUAUAUUUAGGUAUAGCGUUGUGUCGUAAUAUAAGGGGGUAGAGCACUGAAUGGGCUAGGGCAUACACCAAUGUACCAAACCCUAUCAAACUCCGAAUACCUUAUAUGUAAUCACAGCAGUCAGGCGGCGAGUGAUAAAAUCCGUCGUCAAGAGGGAAACAACCCAGACUACCAGCUAAGGUCCCUAAAUCUUACUUAAGUGGAAAACGAUGUGAAGUUACUUAAACAACCAGGAGGUUGGCUUAGAAGCAGCCAUCCUUUAAAGAAAGCGUAAUAGCUCACUGGUCUAGUGAUUUUGCGCGGAAAAUAUAACGGGGCUAAAGUAAGUACCGAAGCUGUAGACUUAGUUUACUAAGUGGUAGGAGAGCGUUCUAUUUGCGUCGAAGGUAUACCGGUAAGGAGUGCUGGAGCGAAUAGAAGUGAGCAUGCAGGCAUGAGUAGCGAUAAUUAAUGUGAGAAUCAUUAACGCCGUAAACCCAAGGUUUCCUACGCGAUGCUCGUCAUCGUAGGGUUAGUCGGGUCCUAAGUCGAGUCCGAAAGGGGUAGACGAUGGCAAAUUGGUUAAUAUUCCAAUACCAACAUUAGUGUGCGAUGGAAGGACGCUUAGGGCUAAGGGGGCUAGCGGAUGGAAGUGCUAGUCUAAGGUCGUAGGAGGUUAUACAGGCAAAUCCGUAUAACAAUACUCCGAGAACUGAAAGGCUUUUUGAAGUCUUCGGAUGGAUAGAAGAACCCCUGAUGCCGUCGAGCCAAGAAAAGUUUCUAAGUUUAGCUAAUGUUGCCCGUACCGUAAACCGACACAGGUGGGUGGGAUGAGUAUUCUAAGGCGCGUGGAAGAACUCUCUUUAAGGAACUCUGCAAAAUAGCACCGUAUCUUCGGUAUAAGGUGUGGUUAGCUUUGUAUUAGGAUUUACUCCGAAAGCAAGGAAACUUACAACAAAGAGUCCCUCCCGACUGUUUACCAAAAACACAGCACUCUGCUAACUCGUAAGAGGAUGUAUAGGGUGUGACGCCUGCCCGGUGCUCGAAGGUUAAUUGAUGGGGUUAGCAUUAGCGAAGCUCUUGAUCGAAGCCCGAGUAAACGGCGGCCGUAACUAUAACGGUCCUAAGGUAGCGAAAUUCCUUGUCGGUUAAAUACCGACCUGCAUGAAUGGCGUAACGAGAUGGGAGCUGUCUCAAAGAGGGAUCCAGUGAAAUUGUAGUGGAGGUGAAAAUUCCUCCUACCCGCGGCAAGACGGAAAGACCCCGUGGACCUUUACUACAGCUUGACACUGCUACUUGGAUAAGAAUGUGCAGGAUAGGUGGGAGGCUUUGAGUAUAUGACGCCAGUUGUAUAUGAGCCAUUGUUGAGAUACCACUCUUUCUUAUUUGGGUAGCUAACCAGCUUGAGUUAUCCUCAAGUGGGACAAUGUCUGGUGGGUAGUUUGACUGGGGCGGUCGCCUCCCAAAUAAUAACGGAGGCUUACAAAGGUUGGCUCAGAACGGUUGGAAAUCGUUCGUAGAGUAUAAAGGUAUAAGCCAGCUUAACUGCAAGACAUACAAGUCAAGCAGAGACGAAAGUCGGUCUUAGUGAUCCGGUGGUUCUGUGUGGAAGGGCCAUCGCUCAAAGGAUAAAAGGUACCCCGGGGAUAACAGGCUGAUCUCCCCCAAGAGCUCACAUCGACGGGGAGGUUUGGCACCUCGAUGUCGGCUCAUCGCAUCCUGGGGCUGGAGCAGGUCCCAAGGGUAUGGCUGUUCGCCAUUUAAAGCGGUACGCGAGCUGGGUUCAGAACGUCGUGAGACAGUUCGGUCCCUAUCUGCCGUGGGCGUAAGAAGAUUGAAGAGAUUUGACCCUAGUACGAGAGGACCGGGUUGAACAAACCACUGGUGUAGCUGUUGUUCUGCCAAGAGCAUCGCAGCGUAGCUAAGUUUGGAAAGGAUAAACGCUGAAAGCAUCUAAGCGUGAAGCCAACUCUAAGAUGAAUCUUCUCUAAGCUCUCUAGAAGACUACUAGUUUGAUAGGCUGGGUGUGUAAUGGAUGAAAGUCCUUUAGCUGACCAGUACUAAUAGAGCGUUUGGCUUAUCUUUAAUAAAGCAU